GCCGAUAAGCCAAAAAAACUGUUUAUGAUUAAAUACUGAAGGCAAGGAAAAAAAAAUACUAUAUUCUUUUGUUUGUGCCCACUCUUUUCUAACGUGUGCCAGUACAAAGAGAACAUAUGCCAGUCACAUAUCAUAGUUUUCCAACCACAAAGGCAAUCUAGAUCCAACAUGCUGGAAAUGACGAAGUUUUAGCAGUUUGCUGAUCUGAAGCAAUGAUCUUAG
Molecule: non-coding RNA, 222 nt
Organism: Pelobates cultripes (western spadefoot toad)
Lineage: Eukaryota; Metazoa; Chordata; Amphibia; Anura; Pelobatidae
Source: the annotation of a GenBank genome assembly